RNAcentral lists this ribosomal RNA (433 nucleotides) under uncultured bacterium. Its description in RNAcentral is "partial 16S ribosomal RNA". It matches the Rfam family "Bacterial small subunit ribosomal RNA", at positions 29 to 507 of the family's 1533-position model. The record is from RNAcentral.
AACGAACGCUGGCGGCAUGCCUAACACAUGCAAGUCGAACGAGACCUUCGGGUCUAGUGGCGCACGGGUGCGUAACGCGUGGGAACCUGCCCUUAGGUUCGGAAUAACUCCCCGAAAGGGGUGCUAAUACCGGAUAAUGUCUUCGGACCAAAGAUUUAUCGCCUUUGGAUGGGCCCGCGUUGGAUUAGCUAGUUGGUAGGGUAAAAGCCUACCAAGGCGACGAUCCAUAGCUGGUCUGAGAGGAUGAUCAGCCACACUGGGACUGAGACACGGCCCAGACUCCUACGGGAGGCAGCAGUGGGGAAUAUUGGACAAUGGGCGAAAGCCUGAUCCAGCAAUGCCGCGUGAGUGAUGAAGGCCUUAGGGUUGUAAAGCCCUUUUACCCGGGAUGAUAAUGACAGUACCGGGAGAAUAAGCCCCGGCUAACUCCGUG